AUUGAACGCUGGCGGCAGGCCUAACACAUGCAAGUCGAGCGGAUGAAGGGAGCUUGCUCCUGGAUUCAGCGGCGGACGGGUGAGUAAUGCCUAGGAAUCUGCCUGGUAGUGGGGGAUAACGUCCGGAAACGGGCGCUAAUACCGCAUACGUCCUGAGGGAGAAAGUGGGGGAUCUUCGGACCUCACGCUAUCAGAUGAGCCUAGGUCGGAUUAGCUAGUUGGUGGGGUAAAGGCCUACCAAGGCGACGAUCCGUAACUGGUCUGAGAGGAUGAUCAGUCACACUGGAACUGAGACACGGUCCAGACUCCUACGGGAGGCAGCAGUGGGGAAUAUUGGACAAUGGGCGAAAGCCUGAUCCAGCCAUGCCGCGUGUGUGAAGAAGGUCUUCGGAUUGUAAAGCACUUUAAGUUGGGAGGAAGGGCAGUAAGUUAAUACCUUGCUGUUUUGACGUUACCAACAGAAUAAGCACCGGCUAACUUCGGG
RNAcentral lists this ribosomal RNA (484 nucleotides) under uncultured bacterium. RNAcentral describes it as "partial 16S ribosomal RNA". It matches the Rfam family "Bacterial small subunit ribosomal RNA", at positions 30 to 507 of the family's 1533-position model. The record is from RNAcentral.